AGAGGCAUGAAGAGGGAAGCAGCAUCAGGAGUUUAGGAAAGAGAUUAAGAAAAGAGAUCCCCCCCGUUUGAAUGGAACUUCAUUCAGCUGAAUAGAUCUCUGACCUGGAGCAUUAUCUGAAAGUAGCAUAUAUGGAGCAUCGUCUCUUGUUACCAUGGAGUCUUGUUGCUUCUGCGGUCAAGGACUGAAAAGAAUUCCUGGGAGAUGAACUUCUGCUGGAGUGUUCCACCAUAAAUGAAUCUGCAAUAAUAAUUUCCCUGCUACUACCAGAAGACUGUUCAUCAUUUCCUGCACAAAUAAAAGACAGCAGUUCAUA
Non-coding RNA from Pantherophis guttatus, 316 nucleotides. Lineage: Eukaryota; Metazoa; Chordata; Lepidosauria; Squamata; Colubridae. The record is from RefSeq and is a predicted model, not a curated record.